GACGAACGCUGGCGGCGUGCCUAAUACAUGCAAGUCGAGCGGACAGAAGGGAGCUUGCUCCCGGAUGUUAGCGGCGGACGGGUGAGUAACACGUGGGCAACCUGCCUGUAAGACUGGGAUAACACCGGGAAACCGGUGCUAAUACCGGAUAAUUCUUUCCCUCACAUGAGGGAAAGCUGAAAGUUGGUUUCGGCUGACACUUACAGAUGGGCCCGCGGCGCAUUAGCUAGUUGGUGAGGUAACGGCUCACCAAGGCGACGAUGCGUAGCCGACCUGAGAGGGUGAUCGGCCACACUGGGACUGAGACACGGCCCAGACUCCUACGGGAGGCAGCAGUAGGGAAUCUUCCGCAAUGGACGAAAGUCUGACGGAGCAACGCCGCGUGAGUGAUGAAGGCCUUCGGGUCGUAAAACUCCGUUGUUAGGGAAGAACAAGUACCGGAGUAACUGCCGGUACCUUGACGGUACCUAACCAGAAAGCCACGGCUAACUACGUGCCAGCCGCCGCCGUAA
Molecule: ribosomal RNA, 512 nt
Filed under: uncultured bacterium
Lineage: Bacteria
Description: partial 16S ribosomal RNA
Rfam family: Bacterial small subunit ribosomal RNA
Source: RNAcentral